CCCGGGUAGGGUGGGGGGGUGGUCCCGGGGGGGCUUACCAUGCAGUCGAGCGGGGGAAGGUAGCUUGCUACCGGACCUAGCGGCGGACGGGUGAGUAAUGCUUAGGAAUCUGCCUAUUAGUGGGGGACAACAUCUCGAAAGGGAUGCUAAUACCGCAUACGUCCUACGGGAGAAAGCAGGGGAUCUUCGGACCUUGCGCUAAUAGAUGAGCCUAAGUCGGAUUAGCUAGUUGGUGGGGUAAAGGCCUACCAAGGCGACGAUCUGUAGCGGGUCUGAGAGGAUGAUCCGCCACACUGGGACUGAGACACGGCCCAGACUCCUACGGGAGGCAGCAGUGGGGAAUAUUGGACAAUGGGGGGAACCCUGAUCCAGCCAUGCCGCGUGUGUGAAGAAGGCCUUAUGGUUGUAAAGCACUUUAAGCGAGGAGGAGGCUACUUUAGUUAAUACCUAGAGAUAGUGGACGUUACUCGCAGAAUAAGCACCGGCUAACUCUGUGCCAGCAGCCGCGGUAAUACAGAGGGUGCGAGCGUUAAUCGGAUUUACUGGGCGUAAAGCGUGCGUAGGCGGCUUAUUAAGUCGGAUGUGAAAUCCCCGAGCUUAACUUGGGAAUUGCAUUCGAUACUGGUGAGCUAGAGUAUGGGAGAGGAUGGUAGAAUUCCAGGUGUAGCGUAAAUGGGCGUAAAAAAA
Molecule: ribosomal RNA, 687 nt
Filed under: Acinetobacter baumannii
Lineage: Bacteria; Pseudomonadati; Pseudomonadota; Gammaproteobacteria; Moraxellales; Moraxellaceae
Description: bacterial SSU rRNA
Rfam family: Bacterial small subunit ribosomal RNA
Source: RNAcentral